Molecule: long non-coding RNA, 122 nt
Organism: Thalassophryne amazonica
Lineage: Eukaryota; Metazoa; Chordata; Actinopteri; Batrachoidiformes; Batrachoididae
Exons: 3
Source: RefSeq, a predicted model, not a curated record
AGACGAUUGUCUUUUCUUGACCACAGCAACAGACAAGAGUCCUGGUAGCAACUUUAACCAGCAGAAAGGUGAGUUACGAUUGACAUCUUUGAAUGGCUUUGAUGGAGGUUGAUGAAUAAAUU